This 534-nucleotide long non-coding RNA is filed under the name Homo sapiens (human). Its description in RNAcentral is "HSALNT0134566". Lineage: Eukaryota; Metazoa; Chordata; Mammalia; Primates; Hominidae. The record is from RNAcentral.
GCACAGCCUGCUAGUCCCACGCUAAAGUGAUUGAGGAAUGGCACAGAGACGGGAGCGAACCCCCAGGGAGGCACCAGGCGAGUUGCCGGAAAGGAAGAGUUCGCUACAGGACAGACAGGCAUGCUAAAAUACUUACCUUGGACAUAAGCUAAGCUUUAAGUUUGUUGUUUAUAACUUCAAAGAGAGACAAGGGACAGUGACUUAAGAAUAUUCUAAGCUAUAAAUUUACAUGUGGACUUUGCUACACACCUGGGAUGCAGCCAGAUGAGUUUUGUUCCAUUGCAGUACAUCUGAUGACCAGAAUUCUAUCAGAGAAUGUUAAUGAACGAAAAGCCUGAGCUUUAAGACUGAGAUUGGUACCACGGGUAGUCAUGGCCACCUGCUGGCAGCGUAGGGUACUGCAGCCCAGCUAUGGUUCAGACUAAAAGCCGAGAAACGCCUGUGGUCCAGGGAAAGGUAUGAAGAUCAUAUAAACCGGCGGUGGACAGGAAAUGCCACAGUCAAGAAGAUGCCCCUGGGAUGCUGAGCUCUUAC